UACGAGUGCCCCAAGCGUUAUCCGGAAUCACUGGGCGUAAAGAGUAUGUAGGUGGCCUUGUUAGUCCUUCGUUAAAGCUUCCGGCUUAACCGGGAAUCUGCGUUGGAAACGGCAAGACUAGAGGGUGCGAGAGGUUUGCAGAACUCAUGGUGUAGGGGUGAAAUCCGUUGAUAUCAUGGGGAAUACCAAAAGCGAAGGCAGCAAACUGGCGCAUUCCUGACACUGAGAUACGAAAGCGUGGGUAGCGAAUGGG
Molecule: unclassified non-coding RNA, 253 nt
Filed under: uncultured Parcubacteria group bacterium
Lineage: Bacteria
Description: contains 16S-23S intergenic spacer region
Rfam family: Bacterial small subunit ribosomal RNA
Source: RNAcentral